AAACAGAUUGCCAGAAUCUCUUUAAGGCCGUACGAUAAUCUUUCUCCAUGCCCUCCCCGAACUCCUCUCAAGUCCGAGUUUUUGCCUCCGCAACGGCACGGGCUGCAGCACGCUUGGCCUGUCGCACCUCCUCAGGCAGAAUGUGCAGGUCUUCACCAAGAGGACUAUGAGCAGCAGGACCACAGUGAGGAGGAAAACCAGGACAUCCAGGCUGUGAUACUGGUACCAGCACCUCCUCAGGCAGAAUGUGCAGGUCUUCA
Long non-coding RNA from Betta splendens (Siamese fighting fish), 260 nucleotides. RefSeq lists it as uncharacterized. NCBI's taxonomy places the organism in Eukaryota, Metazoa, Chordata, Actinopteri, Anabantiformes, Osphronemidae. The transcript has 3 exons. The record is from RefSeq and is a predicted model, not a curated record.